GAGCAAAAUAUUUGAAAUGUAAGUGUGAAUAUGUCAAACUCAAUCACACUAUUAUGUAUAUCUAUAACACAUUAAUAAAAAACAGAAGGGGCUUGGGCUGUAGCUGAGUGGCAGAGUAUUUGCCUAGCAAGUGUGAGACACUGGGUUCAAUUCUUAGCACCACAUAAAAAAUAAAUAUAUAAAGAAAAUAAAGUGUUGCUGUCCAUCUACAAUACAAAAAUAUUAAAAUAAAAAGAGAAAAAAAUCACUAGUAAAAGGAAGCAAUCACAAAAAAAGUGUAAAUAAAAUAUUGGAUUAAAUUAAUUCAGUUAGAUGUGGAAAAAAUCAUUUGUUUGCAUGCAAAUUACUGAAUUUUGGAAAAUUUGCUAUUGAUAAUAAUGAGUCUCAAGCAUAGAGAAUAUCAGAGUUUGGCUUGCUUACUCAGUCCUUUCCAACGCAAAUAAAUAUGUGAGGAUGGUCUGGGAUGGGAAUAAUUCACAGUAAAUACAGCCACUUAGAAAUCUUUUGCAAUUCUGGUGGUUAGAAUCAUUGGCUGUUUAUAUAAGAUAGCCAGAGGAAGAAGUAGAGAACAAUGAAAAAUGAUAGAAAACAAUAGAAUUUAAUGAUUACUAGUACAAUUUUAUGGAAAACAUGAAAUUUAGAGAGUUACGGAAUAACAACAAAGAAGAAGAGGACAUUGGAGUAAAAGACUAAUAGGCAGUAGCAGAAUUUAGUUACUGCUAUUCUAUAAAACUUAUGCAAAAUUAGAAGAAAUAUAGCCAUUUUCCAUUCACCUAAUAUACUCUAAUCACUAAAUGUAGGUUUUAGUCAAGCAUGAAUGGAAUAUUUUUGAAUAUAACAAUAGGUAUUUCUAAGUUAAUUUUUGUAAGACCAAGUUCUUAGUUCAGGACUGCAUUCCGAUUUUAUGCUGUUUAAGAGAAGAAUAAACAUCUGUCCAUCUAAAAGAAGCAAUUGUGUAGUGUGUGUGGGACCCUAUGUGGGAUCCAUUCAGUUUGAACACUGAGUUUUCAGAGGUUGCUGGGGGUGAAUACAUUCACAUUAAGAAAAUGGCACUGAUAUUUGAGGCUCAGAAUAUUUAUUGUGAAUAAAGGAUACAAGUAGA
This 1102-nucleotide long non-coding RNA is filed under the name Marmota monax (woodchuck). Lineage: Eukaryota; Metazoa; Chordata; Mammalia; Rodentia; Sciuridae. The record is from RNAcentral.